AUGAACAACAAGCUUGCCGAGCAUAUUCAGAAAUUCCUGAAGAGACUGGUUGAUGAUCACAGAUGCAUUGACCUUGAGUGGCUCAGAGACGUUCCACCUGACCAAGAAAAAGAGUAUUUGCUGAGCGUACGAGGACUGGGAUUAAAAAGUGUGGAGUGUGUGCGCCUGUUAACACUGCACCAUCUUGCCUUCCUGAUAAACACAAAUGUUGGACGUAUAUCAGUACAAUUGGGAUGGGUACCUCUCCAACCACUGCCUGAGUCAUUAUAG
Molecule: non-coding RNA, 270 nt
Organism: Vicia faba (fava bean)
Lineage: Eukaryota; Viridiplantae; Streptophyta; Magnoliopsida; Fabales; Fabaceae
Source: the annotation of a GenBank genome assembly